RNAcentral lists this long non-coding RNA (406 nucleotides) under Homo sapiens (human). RNAcentral describes it as "non-protein coding lnc-ADCY6-1:1". Lineage: Eukaryota; Metazoa; Chordata; Mammalia; Primates; Hominidae. The record is from RNAcentral.
GAGAGAAGCCUCCUGGGGUGGAGGGAGGUGGGCUGGCAAAGACUUGUGGCCCCUCAUGAUGGAUCAGGAGGGUAGUCAUAGGACAGAGGGAGCUGGCAACCACUUGGUUGCAACCAGGUUGGGAAGUGAGACUGGAAGACUUUUGACUGGAGUGGUUUCCCAGGAUUGGAGGUCUGGACUCUCAUAUGCUUCUGGGGUAACACAGAGCCAGAAGGAGUCUGGAUUUUUCCUUGAAUGACCUGAAGUCAGCACCGCUCCAGUCCUAAACUAAGGACUGAGUUCCAACUGACUGAAAACCAAAUUAAAAGAGGAGCCUUGCUCCCUUCCUUGUGCUCAGCGUUGAGACCCUGCCACCGCCUCAGCGGUCGUCCCUGCCCUGUCCGCCCCGGGCUGCACCCUGCAAGGC